AUAUUAAAGUUGUUGCAGUUAAAAAGCUCGUAGUUGAACCUUUGGCCUGGCUGGCAGGUCCGCCUCACCGCGUGCACUUGUCCGGCCGGGCCUUUUCUUCUGGAGAACCGCAUGCCCUUCACUGGGUGUGUUGGGGACCAGGACUUUUACUUUGAAAAAAUUAGAGUGUUCAAAGCAGGCCUUUGCUCGAAUACGUUAGCAUGGAAUAAUAGAAUAGGACGUUGCGGUCCUAUUUUGUUGGUUUCUAGGACCGCCGUAAUGAUUAAUAGGGACAGUCGGGGGCAUCAGUAUUCAAUUGUCAGAGGUGAAAUUCUUGGAUUUAUUGAAGACUAACUACUGCGAAACGAUUUGCCAAGGAUGUUUUCAUUAAUCAGUGAACGAAAGUUAGGGGAUCGAAGACGAUCAGAUACGUCGUAGUCUUAACCA
RNAcentral lists this ribosomal RNA (426 nucleotides) under Montagnula striatispora. RNAcentral's name for it is "SSU rRNA". It matches the Rfam family "Eukaryotic small subunit ribosomal RNA", at positions 601 to 1032 of the family's 1831-position model. Lineage: Eukaryota; Fungi; Ascomycota; Dothideomycetes; Pleosporales; Didymosphaeriaceae. The record is from RNAcentral.